GACGAACGCUGGCGGCGUGCUUAACACAUGCAAGUCGAACGGAAAGGCCCUGCUUGCAGGGUAUUCGAGUGGCGAACGGGUGAGUAACACGGGGGUGAUCUGCCCUGUACUUCUGGAUAAGCCUGGGAAACUGGGUCUAAUACCGGAUAGGAGCCAUUUUUAGUGUGAUGGUUGGAAAGAUCUUUCGGUGUAGGAUGAGCUCGCGGCCUAUCAGCUUGUUGGUGGGGUAAUGGCCUACCAAGGCGGCGACGGGUAGCCGGCCUGAGGGGCUGGACGGCCACCUUGGGUCUGAGAGACGGCCCAGGCGCCUACGGGAGGCAGCAGUGGGGAAUCUUGCACCAUGGGCGCCAGCCUGAUGCAGCGACGCCGCGGGGGGGAUGACGCCCUUCUGGUUGUAAACUCCUUUCGCUAUGGACCAAGCUUUUUGUGACGGUACCUAGAUAAGAAGCACCGGCUAACUACGUG
This 465-nucleotide ribosomal RNA is filed under the name uncultured bacterium. RNAcentral's name for it is "partial 16S ribosomal RNA". It matches the Rfam family "Bacterial small subunit ribosomal RNA", at positions 28 to 507 of the family's 1533-position model. The record is from RNAcentral.